ACAAUAUUUUGCUGCCCAUAUUGUUCCUGGUUGUUAACAAUAUUGUUCAGCAUUGUUCAGGCUGAACAAUGCUGAACAAUAUUGUUAACAACCAGGAACAAUAUGGGCAGCAAAAUAUUGUUC
RNAcentral lists this microRNA precursor (123 nucleotides) under Paramuricea clavata. Lineage: Eukaryota; Metazoa; Cnidaria; Anthozoa; Malacalcyonacea; Plexauridae. The record is from RNAcentral.